AUGUUCUCUGUAGCUCUGCUGCUGCUGCUGGCUGCUGGAUCCUGUGUUGAUGGUCAGACUCUGACACAAUCUGAACCAGUGGUUAAAAAGCCUGCAGAGUCCCACAGAUUGACCUGCACAGCCUCUGGAUUCACAUUCAGCAGCUAUUCCAUGAACUGGAUCAGACAGGCUCCUGGAAAAGGACUGGAGUGGAUCGCCUAUAUCAGCCCUGGUGGCACCACCCGCUACUCCCAGUCAGUCCAAGGCCAGUUCACCAUCUCCAGAGACAACAGCAGAGAGCAGCUGUAUCUCCAGAUGAACAGUCUGAAGACUGAAGACUCUGCUGUUUAUUAUUGUGCUCAAGAGCCACAGUCUCGAGACCGGUCUCGAGACCACUUUUUGAGGGUCUCGGUCUCGUCUCGGAAUCGGCGGCAUUUUCACUCGGUCUUGAGUGAAAAUAUCUUGAGUGAGGUCGGAAUUUCUGAUCAAUACCGGUCGAGACCAGGCUCUCACUAUUUUAAUAAGAGAAAAAAGAAAAGUGCAGCUGCUGCCUUCCCGGUGUCACACAGCCUUUGCAACACUUUGACUGACACGCCCUCUGAACACGCAGAGUGGAUAAAGACGGCUGCAGAAGCGGUGGUUAUGUUUGGCGUCCCCGGGAAAUCGCCAUGA
Myripristis murdjan (pinecone soldierfish) is the source of this 651-nucleotide non-coding RNA. The record is from the annotation of a RefSeq genome assembly. NCBI's taxonomy places the organism in Eukaryota, Metazoa, Chordata, Actinopteri, Holocentriformes, Holocentridae.